GAGUUUGAUCAUGGCUCAGGAUGAACGCUGGCGGCGUGCCUAACACAUGCAAGUCGAACGAAGCAUAUAGAAGGAAGUUUUCGGAUGGAAUUUUAUAUGACUUAGUGCCGGACGGGUGAGUAACGCGUGGAUAAUCUGCCUUACACAGCGGGAUAACAAAUGGAAACAGUUGCUAAUACCGCAUAAGCACACAGUAUCGCAUGAUACAGGGUGAAAAGAUUUAUCGGUGUAAGAUGAGUCCGCGUCCCAUUAGCUAGUUGGUGAGGUAAAAGCUUACCAAGGCGACGAUGGGUAGCCGGCCUGAGAGGGUGAACGGCCACAUUGGGACUGAGACACGGCCCAGACUCCUACGGGAGGCAGCAGUGGGGGAUAUUGCACAAUGGGCGAAAGCCUGAUGCAGCGACGCCGCGUGAAGGAAGAAGUAUUUCGGUAU
Molecule: ribosomal RNA, 433 nt
Filed under: Lachnospiraceae bacterium canine oral taxon 024
Lineage: Bacteria; Bacillati; Bacillota; Clostridia; Lachnospirales; Lachnospiraceae
Description: bacterial SSU rRNA
Rfam family: Bacterial small subunit ribosomal RNA
Source: RNAcentral